RNAcentral lists this transfer RNA (76 nucleotides) under Deltaproteobacteria bacterium. RNAcentral's name for it is "tRNA-Glu". It matches the Rfam family "tRNA". From Rfam's summary of the family: Transfer RNA (tRNA) molecules are approximately 80 nucleotides in length. Lineage: Bacteria; Pseudomonadati; Myxococcota; Myxococcia. The record is from RNAcentral. RNAcentral also lists the same sequence under 1 other name.
GGUCCCAUCGUCUAGCGGUCCAGGACGCCGGCCUCUCACGCCGGUAACACGGGUUCGAGUCCCGUUGGGACUACCA